AGCAGCCGCGGUAAUUCCAGCUCCAAUAGCGUAUAUUAAAGUUGUUGCAGUUAAAAAGCUCGUAGUUGAAUUUCGGAAUCUGUCCGUUGGUCGGGCUUCAUUGUCCGUACUGGUGUGGUGGGUUCUUACCUUCUGAAUAACCAGCAUGCCAUUUACUUGGUGCGCUGGGGAAGCAGGACUAUUACCUUGAAAAAAUUAGAGUGCUCAAAGCAGGCCAGCGCCUGAAUACAUUAGCAUGGAAUAAUAAAAUACGCCGGCAUGGUUCUAUUUUGUUGGUUUCUAGGAUCACCGUAAUGAUUAAUAGGGAUAGUUGGG
RNAcentral lists this ribosomal RNA (315 nucleotides) under uncultured Acaulospora. RNAcentral's name for it is "SSU rRNA". It matches the Rfam family "Eukaryotic small subunit ribosomal RNA", at positions 569 to 886 of the family's 1831-position model. Lineage: Eukaryota; Fungi; Glomeromycota; Glomeromycetes; Diversisporales; Acaulosporaceae. The record is from RNAcentral.